GGAAGUAAAAGUCUAACAAGGUUUCCGUAGGUGAACCUGCGGAAGGAUCAUUAUCGAAAUACUUAUUUAGCGUUCCGUGCUAUCCCAUUGUUUUAUUUACCCUGUUGCUUCCACUGGAUGAGUUUCCAUACCUUGUGUUUGAGAAACUUUGGCUUGUGUAAGAUUCAUUCACGGCCAGCCAGUGAGAAGACCAUUUACAAAACCCUGUUAAGAACCAAUUGUCUGAAUAUUUUACUCCAAUGAAAUAAAACUUUCAACAACGGAUCUCUAGGCUCUU
Molecule: unclassified non-coding RNA, 277 nt
Filed under: plant metagenome
Description: partial contains small subunit ribosomal RNA and internal transcribed spacer 1
Rfam family: Eukaryotic small subunit ribosomal RNA (bases 1-53)
Source: RNAcentral